Cebus imitator (Panamanian white-faced capuchin) is the source of this 390-nucleotide long non-coding RNA. RefSeq lists it as uncharacterized. NCBI's taxonomy places the organism in Eukaryota, Metazoa, Chordata, Mammalia, Primates, Cebidae. The transcript has 2 exons. The record is from RefSeq and is a predicted model, not a curated record.
CAGGCUGGAGUGCAAAGGUACGAUCUCGGCUCACUGCAAUCUCCGCCUCCCGGGCUCAAGUGAUUACAGGCAUGAGACACCGCAUCCAGCCAAAUAAAUUUACAGCAGUCAUCACUGACGUCUUCUGUGUACCAAUGCUGUGCCAGACGCUGAGGCUCUCUACAUGUUACCUGAAGGCAAACAGCAUCCCAGCCAGCAGGCAGGCCUCCACUGAGCUCAGCGUCCUCUGGAGUGACUGACUUAUUCCAGGUCAUAUUGCUGGUAAAUGUCGGAACUAGGAUCUGAAUCGUCAUGAACUCCCUGAGCCUCCAUUUUCUUCUCUGAAGAAAAAAAAAAAAAAAUAGUGACAGGAUUUUAUUGAAUUGUUUUGAAUAUUAAGUAAAAUUUCAU